AACGAACGCUGGCGGCAUGCCUAACACAUGCAAGUCGAACGAGACCUUCGGGUCUAGUGGCGCACGGGUGCGUAACGCGUGGGAACCUGCCCUUAGGUUCGGAAUAACUCCCCGAAAGGGGUGCUAAUACCGGAUAAUGUCUUCGGACCAAAGAUUUAUCGCCUUUGGAUGGGCCCGCGUUGGAUUAGCUAGUUGGUAGGGUAAAAGCCUACCAAGGCGACGAUCCAUAGCUGGUCUGAGAGGAUGAUCAGCCACACUGGGACUGAGACACGGCCCAGACUCCUACGGGAGGCGGCAGUGGGGAAUAUUGGACAAUGGGCGAAAGCCUGAUCCAGCAAUGCCGCGAGAGUGAUGAAGGCCUUAGGGUUGUAAAGCUCUUUUACCCGGGAUGAUAAUGACAGUACCGGGAGAAUAAGCUCCGGCUAACUCCGUG
Molecule: ribosomal RNA, 433 nt
Filed under: uncultured bacterium
Lineage: Bacteria
Description: partial 16S ribosomal RNA
Rfam family: Bacterial small subunit ribosomal RNA
Source: RNAcentral